Mauremys mutica (yellowpond turtle) is the source of this 356-nucleotide long non-coding RNA. RefSeq lists it as uncharacterized. The transcript has 3 exons. The record is from RefSeq and is a predicted model, not a curated record. NCBI's taxonomy places the organism in Eukaryota, Metazoa, Chordata, Testudines, Geoemydidae.
UCAUCUCCUCUCUGUUCUAUACAUUGCCAAAUGCAUUGUUGGAGCUCAACAAAUGAAGACUAACUUGGCUAGUACAGAAAUGCACACUGCCUAAGAAGCUAUUAAGUUGCAGAUCCAAUUUGCACGUGCAGCACUUAGGGUUUUCUGUAGUGCCCAUCUAUUAAAGAAUGGUCAGCUCAGGUAGAAGAUGUGUACUGGAGAGUCCGUUUGUGUGCUAGCAAUGUAUCUUAUUGAAUCUGUUCAGUUUGCUCCCGAUUGCCAAGGGCCAAGAUCCCACAAUCAGACUCCAAAGGAUUUUUGGAUACGGUGGCUUGCAAGAUGACCUGAGCCUUUUUUAGGUUGUGGACCCCGACAGG